CUGAGGACCGCGUUCGGGUCACUUGCGGAACGCAACACCCGAUCUCCCUCCACGCGCCAGACAGGGCGCUGUCGGCGGGAGAGCGCGUCAUCAUCAG
This 97-nucleotide regulatory RNA element is filed under the name uncultured archaeon A07HB70. It matches the Rfam family "L4-Archaeoglobi ribosomal protein leades". The record is from Rfam.